This 75-nucleotide transfer RNA is filed under the name Acidobacteriota bacterium. RNAcentral describes it as "Acidobacteria bacterium tRNA-Lys". It matches the Rfam family "tRNA". Rfam says of the family: Transfer RNA (tRNA) molecules are approximately 80 nucleotides in length. The record is from RNAcentral. RNAcentral also lists the same sequence under 1 other name. Lineage: Bacteria; Pseudomonadati; Acidobacteriota.
GACCCGGUAGCUCAGUGGUAGAGCAUGUGACUUUUAAUCACAGGGCCGUGGGUUCGAUCCCCACCCGGGUCACCA